Molecule: ribosomal RNA, 888 nt
Filed under: uncultured bacterium
Lineage: Bacteria
Description: bacterial SSU rRNA
Rfam family: Bacterial small subunit ribosomal RNA
Source: RNAcentral
AGUCGAGCGAGCAAAGUUAAAGGAAUACUUCGGUAGGAAUUUAAUAGCGCGAGCGGCGGAUGGGUGAGUAACACGUGGGCAACCUGCCCUUUAGCUUGGGAUACCACUUGGAAACAGGUGCUAAUACCAAAUAAGAAGUAAGAGCGCAUGCUCAAGCUAUGAAAGGCGGCUUUCGAGCUGUCACUAAAGGGUGGGCCCGCGGUGCAUUAGCUAGUUGGUAAGGCAACGGCUUACCAAGGCAAUGAUGCAUAGCCGAGUUGAGAGACUGAUCGGCCACAUUGGGACUGAGACACGGCCCAAGCUCCUACGGGAGGCAGCAGUAGGGAAUCUUCCACAAUGGACGCAAGUCUGAUGGAGCGACGCCGCGUGAGUGAAGAAGGUUUUCGGAUCGUAAAGCUCUGUUGUUGGUGAAGAAGGACAUGGAUAGUAACUGAUCUAUGUUUGACGGUAAUCAACCAGAAAGUCACGGCUAACUACGUGCCAGCAGCCGCGGUAAUACGUAGGUGGCAAGCGUUGUCCGGAUUUAUUGGGCGUAAAGCGAACGCAGGCGGGAGAACAAGUCAGCUGUGAAAGCCCUCGGCUUAACCGAGGAACGGCAACUGAAACUGUUUUUCUUGAGUGCAGAAGAGGAGAGUGGAACUCCAUGUGUAGCGGUGAAAUGCGUAGAUAUAUGGAAGAACACCAGUGGCGAAGGCGGCUCUCUGGUCUGUAACUGACGCUGAGGUUCGAAAGCAUGGGUAGCGAACAGGAUUAGAUACCCUGGUAGUCCAUGCCGUAAACGAUGAGUGCUAAGUGUUGGGAGGUUUCCGCCUCUCAGUGCUGCAGCUAACGCAUUAAGCACUCCGCCUGGGGAGUACGACCGCAAGGUUAAAACUCAAAGGAAUUGAC